CUAAGUGGCGGACGGGUGAGUAACGCGUGGGUAACCUGCCUCAUACAGGGGGAUAACAGUUAGAAAUGACUGCUAAUACCGCAUAAGACCACAGCACCGCAUGGUGCAGGGGUAAAAACUCCGGUGGUAUGAGAUGGACCCGCGUCUGAUUAGGUAGUUGGUGGGGUAACGGCCUACCAAGCCGACGAUCAGUAGCCGACCUGAGAGGGUGACCGGCCACAUUGGGACUGAGACACGGCCCAA
RNAcentral lists this ribosomal RNA (243 nucleotides) under uncultured bacterium. Its description in RNAcentral is "partial 16S ribosomal RNA". It matches the Rfam family "Bacterial small subunit ribosomal RNA", at positions 91 to 334 of the family's 1533-position model. The record is from RNAcentral.